Molecule: long non-coding RNA, 1392 nt
Filed under: Falco tinnunculus (common kestrel)
Lineage: Eukaryota; Metazoa; Chordata; Aves; Falconiformes; Falconidae
Description: lncRNA (ENSFTIG00000014347.1)
Source: RNAcentral
GGACCCACGGCGAGGAAGGGCAGAGGUGGGGAGCUGGUGGGAUGGGGCGAGCAGGGACACCACAAAACCGAGUGAGAAAAUAGGGGCCAUUUACUUUUCUAUAAUAAAAACUGCAUAAAGACACACCGGCAAUCCCAAACCCUCCAAAACCCACCGGACUCACGUCGCUUUUUGGCUCCCUAUGGCACACACCGCCCCAUUACCUGCCUUCACCCAGCUGCCUGGGCUGCCUCUUUCCAAGCCCUCCGCAGCAGACCUACUUUUUAAAUUUAUUUACCCCACCAAGGAGAUGAGGAACCGCACAGAAGCACUUUGGGUUUAUGGAUUUGUGCCUGUCUCUCCACUGCUACCCUCACCAGAUGAACACUGCCCAGCUGCCGGCCCAGGGAUGCUUUGCGGGCAGCUCCCAGCACGCUGCCUGCACGCACCUCUCGCUCUGCCCAGGAGGGCAAGAGCUGCCCAAAACUCAGAGAACACAGUCCUGAGACAGAAAAUCACCGUGUUCCACUCUCCAACAUCGCCUGGCACGUGAAGCCUUGGCCAGCCACUGCAAACCCAGCGCCCCCACCCUACAGCAGCGGCAUCUUCGGCAUGGGGAAAUUGAGGCACGCCUGGUGCGCAUGGGCUCUUACACUCUUGGGAAGCUGGUGGCAACGUAACCGCAGAAGUGAGCCAUCCCUGGCUGAGAAGAGGCACAGCCGUGGCCAUCUCGUACACCCAAGCGAGCCUGGGUCAAUAAAACAGGCCCCUGCCCACCUUGCUACCCCCCGCCCCACUGCCGGGCAUUGCCCCACUCCUGCCCUGCUGCUUCCUCCCCAGCAGCUUAGGAAGGGAGUCAGGUUUGUUUUGCAACAAGCUUUGCUUUUCAUUGCAAUAAACUCCGGUGCAUGCAACGGGCUGGCACUGGCAGGGCUCGUGUUGCCGGCAGCCUGGUGCAUGCCAUGGCACCACCCGCAGCGUCACUGCCAGGGCGUGUGAUGCCCCCUGAUCACCCCAACCCCUACCAUCACCAACCUCCUCCAUGCCCACGGAAGCUCAGCUCUUGGCUGCUACGUCACCUCCCAUCGCUCCCUGUUUGCACAACUCCCCUCCCCGGGGAUCAAGUCGGAGCGCGCCCGCCUGUGCCGACUCAGCUCCCGGUGCAGCAGGGACGCUGCGCUGGCUGGAGCAACCCCAGGCAAGCGAGGCAAUGCCACCGGGUUGGGGAGCACCGGCUGGUUUACCUCUGCUUUGCAAACAAGCAUGGCACAAAGGUGAGGCUGAGGAUCCCAACUAUCCCCUGCAAGGGCAGGGACCACUACAGACUGGCAACAGGGAGUCACAGCGGACUCCAAAAGCACUUCAGCUUCAGCAUCGCCACUCAAAAAGGUACCGUUCUCACCAGGACACUUA